AACUUGCCUUUGCGUUAGGGAUUGAAACGACAUCCUUUUUUUAUUUUUCAUAAAAAAAGAUAUAGUGUAAAGCCCGUUAAAAC
RNAcentral lists this small RNA (83 nucleotides) under Polaribacter reichenbachii. RNAcentral's name for it is "Flavo-1 RNA". It matches the Rfam family "Flavo-1 RNA". Lineage: Bacteria; Pseudomonadati; Bacteroidota; Flavobacteriia; Flavobacteriales; Flavobacteriaceae. The record is from Rfam by way of RNAcentral.